UACGUAGGCAGCGAGCGUUGUUUGGAAUUACUGGGCGUAAAGCGUGCGUAGGCGGUGCCUCAAGUUUGGUGUGAAAUCUCCCGGCUCAACCGGGAGGGUGCGCCGAAAACUGAGGUGCUCGAGUGUGGGAGAGGUAAGCGGAAUUCCUGGUGUAGCGGUGAAAUGCGUAGAUAUCAGGAGGAACACCGGCGGUGUAGACGGCUUACUGGACCAUAACUGACGCUGAGGCACGAAAGUGUGGGGAGCAAACAGG
This 253-nucleotide ribosomal RNA is filed under the name uncultured bacterium. RNAcentral's name for it is "partial 16S ribosomal RNA". It matches the Rfam family "Bacterial small subunit ribosomal RNA", at positions 524 to 776 of the family's 1533-position model. The record is from RNAcentral.